RNAcentral lists this transfer RNA (71 nucleotides) under Marmota monax (woodchuck). It matches the Rfam family "tRNA". Rfam says of the family: Transfer RNA (tRNA) molecules are approximately 80 nucleotides in length. Their secondary structure includes four short double-helical elements and three loops (D, anti-codon, and T loops). Further hydrogen bonds mediate the characteristic L-shaped molecular structure. tRNAs have two regions of fundamental functional importance: the anti-codon, which is responsible for specific mRNA codon recognition, and the 3' end, to which the tRNAs corresponding amino acid is attached (by aminoacyl-tRNA synthetases). tRNAs cope with the degeneracy of the genetic code in two manners: having more than one tRNA (with a specific anti-codon) for a particular amino acid; and 'wobble' base-pairing, i.e. permitting non-standard base-pairing at the 3rd anti-codon position. The record is from Rfam by way of RNAcentral. Lineage: Eukaryota; Metazoa; Chordata; Mammalia; Rodentia; Sciuridae.
GGGGUUGUAGCUCAAUGGUAGAGAACUUGCCUAGCAUGUGGGAGGCACUGGGUUCAAUUCUCAGCACCUCA